UCCGAAUUGGUGUAGUGGCUAACAUUUGACGCUCUCAAUUAUCGCAAACAUCUGUUCUGUGAAAGUGCCGUCAAGCCCGGGGUUCGAUUCCCCGAUUCGGAG
Molecule: transfer RNA, 102 nt
Filed under: Nemania serpens
Lineage: Eukaryota; Fungi; Ascomycota; Sordariomycetes; Xylariales; Xylariaceae
Description: tRNA-Glu
Rfam family: tRNA
About the family: Transfer RNA (tRNA) molecules are approximately 80 nucleotides in length. Their secondary structure includes four short double-helical elements and three loops (D, anti-codon, and T loops).
Source: RNAcentral